RNAcentral lists this ribosomal RNA (394 nucleotides) under uncultured bacterium. RNAcentral describes it as "partial 16S ribosomal RNA". It matches the Rfam family "Bacterial small subunit ribosomal RNA", at positions 523 to 918 of the family's 1533-position model. The record is from RNAcentral.
CUACGUAGGGGGCAAGCGUUAUCCGGAAUUAUUGGGCGUAAAGAGUGCGUAGGUGGUUACCUAAGCAGGGGGUGAAAGGCACUGGCUUAACCAAUGUCAGCCCCCUGAACUGGGCUACUUGAGUGCAGGAGAGGAAAGUGGAAUUCCUAGUGUAGCGGUGAAAUGCGUAGAUAUUAGGAGGAACACCAGUGGCGAAGGCGACUUUCUGGACUGUUACUGACACUGAGGCACGAAAGUGUGGGGAGCAAACAGGAUUAGAUACCCUGGUAGUCCACACCGUAAACGAUGAGCACUAGGUGUCGGGGGAGCAAUUUCUCGGUGCCGCAGUUAACGCAUUAAGUGCUCCGCCUGGGGAGUACGUACGCAAGUAUGAAACUCAAAGGAAUUGACGGGG